CCUACGGGAGACUGCAGUGAGGAAUAUUGGUCAAUGGCCGAGAGGCUGAACCAGCCAAGUCGCGUGAGGGAUGAAUGUCCUCUGGAUUGUAAACCUCUUUUGUCAGGGAGCAAAGUCACCCACGUGUGGGUGUUGGGGUGUACCUGAAGAAAAAGCAUCGGCUCACUCCGUGCCAGCAGCCGCGGUAAUACGGAGGAUGCGAGCGUUAUCCGGAUUUAUUGGGUUUAACGGGAGCGUAGGCCGCAUGUCAAGCGUGCUGUGAAAAGUCCGGGCUCAACCCCGGACUUGCAGCGAGAACUGGCGGGCUUGAGUGCGCGGAGGGCAGGCGGAAUUCAUGGUGUAGCGGUGAAAUGCUUAGAUAUGACGAAGAACCCCGAUUGCGAAGGCAGGUUGCUGCAGCGGAACUGACGCUGAGGCUCGAAAGCGCGGGUAUCGAACAGGAUUAGAUACCCGAGUAGUC
This 460-nucleotide ribosomal RNA is filed under the name uncultured bacterium. RNAcentral describes it as "partial 16S ribosomal RNA". It matches the Rfam family "Bacterial small subunit ribosomal RNA", at positions 338 to 795 of the family's 1533-position model. The record is from RNAcentral.